RNAcentral lists this ribosomal RNA (484 nucleotides) under uncultured bacterium. RNAcentral's name for it is "partial 16S ribosomal RNA". It matches the Rfam family "Bacterial small subunit ribosomal RNA", at positions 30 to 507 of the family's 1533-position model. The record is from RNAcentral.
AUUGAACGCUGGCGGCAGGCCUAACACAUGCAAGUCGAGCGGAUGAAGGGAGCUUGCUCCUGGAUUCAGCGGCGGACGGGUGAGUAAUGCCUAGGAAUCUGCCUGGUAGUGGGGGAUAACUUCCGGAAACGGGCGCUAAUACCGCAUCCGUCCUGAGGGAGAAAGUGGGGGAUCUUCGGCCCUCACGCUAUCAGAUGAGCCUAGGUCGGAUUAGCUAGUUGGUGGGGUAAAGGCCUACCAAGGCGACGAUCCGUAACUGGUCUGAGAGGAUGAUCAGUCACACUGGAACUGAGACACGGUCCAGACUCCUACGGGAGGCAGCAGUGGGGAAUAUUGGACAAUGGGCGAAAGCCUGAUCCAGCCAUGCCGCGUGUGUGAAGAAGGUCUUCGGAUUGUAAAGCACUUUAAGUUGGGAGGAAGGGCAGUAAGUUAAUACCUUGCUGUUUUGACGUUACCAACAGAAUAAGCACCGGCUAACUUCGUG